Brachypodium distachyon (stiff brome) is the source of this 587-nucleotide long non-coding RNA. RefSeq lists it as uncharacterized. NCBI's taxonomy places the organism in Eukaryota, Viridiplantae, Streptophyta, Magnoliopsida, Poales, Poaceae. The record is from RefSeq and is a predicted model, not a curated record. The transcript has 2 exons.
UCGCUGCACAUCGUUCGUCGACCGUUAUGCAAGCUAGCCAAGGUGGGCUCUUCUUAUCCAUUCCCCUUGAAUAUUUUCGCUGAAUUAGUUAGUUACCUUCUCCGGUGCAGAUGAUGAAGCCGAUCACCAUGAAAAGAGGAUGCACCUGGCAAAAUCAAACACACAAAAAGCUGGGUGGUGGAGUUCAACUCCCAGGAAACGCCAUCCCUGAAGUGCAGCACCCAGACGAGCGUGAGCGUGAGCACGGCGGCGGCGAGGAGCUGCGCCAUGACUAUCACGGGCAGCGCCGAGGCCCGGAAGCUGGCGCCGCUCUUGACCGGCAUGGCUUCCUCGCCGUUUGUCCUCCCGGGCGCCGGCAGAAGUAACACUGCGAUUACAACGGCAAAGUGCGUGCUAGCUUCUGCAUUAUUGCGUGGGCUCUGGAACGGCCGGUUAUAAGAAGAGCUUGGGGGUGUCCCGGUGGAGGAUCCAAGGCGCAUGCAGGCAGAACUGGGUCAAGAGACAAUUUCUUUGCGCGUGUGUUUUGCACAUUUGGCCGGCUUAGCGUGGUGUUGGAAUAGCAGAUUGAGUUUUUGGCUGUCAGCUUA